Molecule: ribosomal RNA, 120 nt
Filed under: Anolis carolinensis (green anole)
Lineage: Eukaryota; Metazoa; Chordata; Lepidosauria; Squamata; Anolidae
Source: RNAcentral
AUUUGCAACUUGGUUCAACUGAAGGCACCAGAUUCCUUCUGAUCUGGGAAUGCUAAGCAGGGUCAGCCCUGGCUAGUCCUUGGAUGGGAGACCGCCAAGGAACACCUGGGGCUGUAGGCA